Long non-coding RNA from Tympanuchus pallidicinctus (lesser prairie-chicken), 383 nucleotides. RefSeq lists it as uncharacterized. The transcript is spliced from 3 exons. Lineage: Eukaryota; Metazoa; Chordata; Aves; Galliformes; Phasianidae. The record is from RefSeq and is a predicted model, not a curated record.
CAGGCUCCCCUCCCGGAGUGCGGGCAUCUCUGGCUCCCGAUUCGCGCUGCUGCGGGCCGGGGCGGUCCGGCUUUACUGCGGGCGGCUCUGCGGCUUCGGUGUCCUCCGUUUGGUAACCUGAUAAGAAGUCAGUGCUUGUCCUCCAAGUUUUUCUCUUUUUCUUGAAGGCAAACUUCUGUUUACGUAAUUUGUUUGUCCUCGUUAGCCAUGGAGUCCAUCAGAGACUCUAAGUGGUGCCUACAGGAAAGGCAUGCAAGAUGUUUAUGCAAGAGCCCAGAAAAGACGUGAUCUGCACCAGAGAGCUUCCUCAACCCUGCUGCGAGCAGCUGAGGGUCCCUGCGUGGUUAAAGCGAUGCCUGGUGCUUGGCCCUCGUGUGCAGCAA